CCUACGGGGGGCAGCAGUGAGGAAUAUUGGUCAAUGGGCGCUAGCCUGAACCAGCCACGUCGCGUGAAGGAUGACUGCUCUCUGGGUUGUAACCUUCUUUUAUAUGGGAGUAAAGUGCAGUAUGUAUACUGCUUUGCAUGUACCUUAUGAAUCAGGAUCGGCUAACUCCGUGCCAGCAGCCGCGGUAAUACGGAGGAUCCGAGCGUUAUCCGGAUUUAUUGGGUUUAAAGGGAGCGUAGGCGGGUUGGUAAGUCAGAUGUGAAAGUGUGCGGCUCAACCGUAAAAUUGCAGUUGAUACGGGAAUCCUUGAGUAUAGGAGAGGUAGGCGGAAUUCGUGGUGUAGCGGUGAAAUGCGUAGAUAUCACGAAGAACACCGAUGGCGAAGGCAGCCUGCUGGACUGUAACUGACGCUGAGGCUCGAAAGUGUGGGUAUCAAACAGGAUUAGAUACCCGAGUAGUC
RNAcentral lists this ribosomal RNA (460 nucleotides) under uncultured bacterium. RNAcentral describes it as "partial 16S ribosomal RNA". It matches the Rfam family "Bacterial small subunit ribosomal RNA", at positions 338 to 795 of the family's 1533-position model. The record is from RNAcentral.